CAGGGAUGGAAAGGAAACGAACGGCUCCCAAAGCCCAGCCUGACGAUGCAGGGACCCAGACUGACCUGCGCUGGGAGCGUGAGGUCAGUGGCAACCAAUGGCAGGUGUUCCCACCUGAGCAGAGUGAGGCCCUCAGCCAAGCAGCUCGGGCACGGAAAUGGUCAGAAAAAUUAGGAGACGACCAUGUGGACCUGCGCAAGAUGUUGCAGAGGAACAAGCAGAGCGGUCAGGAGAACCGUGUCCGUGCGGCUGUCUGGGAUCAGAAAUCUUAUUUUGUCUGGCAAUGGGAAGGAGAUGAGGAAAACGACUGGAUUCCAUACCCCGCUACCACCUGCUUGAAUUUACGGGCAGCUAAGAACGGUGACCGGAGACCCAUAGUGUAUUUGACAUUUAGUCGAACGCGCUACAAGCUGGACACAGCCCGCAUGGUGCAGACAAACCAGCGGACUAAAUUUGAACGUCGGAUGGACUGCAGGGAAUCAGGUAUCAGUGUCCAGGUAGACCACAGGGGAGCCCAAAAUUUAUGUCUCUAAGUGAGA
This 539-nucleotide long non-coding RNA is filed under the name Notechis scutatus (mainland tiger snake). RNAcentral's name for it is "lncRNA (ENSNSUG00000002102.1)". Lineage: Eukaryota; Metazoa; Chordata; Lepidosauria; Squamata; Elapidae. The record is from RNAcentral.